GACGAACGCUGGCGGCGUGCUUAACACAUGCAAGUCGAACGCUGAAGACCUGGCUUUUGUUGGGUUGGAUGAGUGGCGAACGGGUGAGUAACACGUGAGUAACCUGCCCUCUUCUUUGGGAUAACGCCCGGAAACGGGUGCUAAUACUGGAUAUUCACUGGCCUUCGCAUGGGGGUUGGUGGAAAGGUUUGUUCUGGUGGGGGAUGGGCUCGCGGCCUAUCAGCUUGUUGGUGGGGUGAUGGCCUACCAAGGCUUUGACGGGUAGCCGGCCUGAGAGGGUGACCGGUCACAUUGGGACUGAGAUACGGCCCAGACUCCUACGGGAGGCAGCAGUGGGGAAGAUUGCACAAUGGGCGAAAGCCUGAUGCAGCGACGCCGCGUGAGGGAUGGAGGCCUGCGGGUUGUAAACCUCUUUCGCUCAUGGUCAAGCCGCAACUGUGGGUUGUGGUGAGGGUAGUGGGUAAAGAAGCGCCGGCUAACUACGUG
Molecule: ribosomal RNA, 486 nt
Filed under: uncultured bacterium
Lineage: Bacteria
Description: partial 16S ribosomal RNA
Rfam family: Bacterial small subunit ribosomal RNA
Source: RNAcentral